Molecule: small nuclear RNA, 160 nt
Filed under: Nicotiana attenuata
Lineage: Eukaryota; Viridiplantae; Streptophyta; Magnoliopsida; Solanales; Solanaceae
Description: snRNA U2
Source: RNAcentral
GCUAAUUAUGGACAUUUUUGAUUAUAUAGUUUCAUAUAUGGUAUAGGAAUAAAAAAAUCUCUUUAUUUUUAAGGGAGAAGGUCCAUUAGAGUAGCUUGCUAUCCGGGCUUUCGCGCGUUGCUUUGGUGUUGCACUACAGCCAUAGACUGGCGAACCCCAC